GAAGGUCCCCGAACCCCAUGUUGGGCGCCCGUUAUCCACAAAGAGGGGGUGGCGGCUGGUGGGAGGUGUUAAAUCAGUUAUUUUGCUGCUGAGCUCCGCCAGUAUGGACUCUCAAAACAAGGCCUGGCUUUAAAAAUAAAAAGUUGCUAACCAGCACUUAUGAGGUAAAUAUGUUGUUAUAAGCAGAAUGCGGUCGGUUUUAUUUCUCUCCGGUAUGGAAGAGCGUCAUCACACCGGGAAUAAAGUGCGUGAAGCGGCGGAAACGGGGCGGCGGAUGUGAAGUGGUCCAGCCAAAUAAAUAAGAUAUGAACGCGUCUUUUCUUCCCAGCCUGGCAACAUCGCGGGGAGGUCAACGACGCUGCGGAUAGAAAGAGAUGGCAACCAUGAUUUAGACACGGGAAUAAUAAUUUAAAAAAAAAAAAACAUUUGUAAAGGAGGGUUUCGCCUUUACCGGAGGUUUGGGAGUACCGAGACGCGGCGGCGCUGCGCCCGGGCUCUGGAGCCCCGGAUCCCGCUUGGAAGCCGAUGAAGUGCCGGUGGUGCCCGGGCCGUAUGGAGGUCCGUCGUCCAUGAUUAAGCGACUUUGUCGUGGAUUUUCUUGGCACGCAGAAGGGCUUGUAAACGACGUUUAUAUCGCCGUAGCAAAGGUCUCCAACCUCCCUUCACCCCUCUCCUCCCUGUGGAUCAUAGGAACGCCCCGUCAUCACCCCCUCCUCCCCGGACAGACCAACGGAAGGAUUCCCGGAUUGCCUUUCAGCCCUGAUUCCUUGUCUCUCUCUGCCCAUCUUCCACCUCCAUCACUUUCCUUUGUCAUAAUGGCUAGCUGAAUGAUUUAUAAAGUACUGUAGUGCCCUCGAGCAAGGCAUUGCUCUGCCGUUGACACGUUUGUCAAUAUGGUUGGGGGUCCGAGGGUGUUAAGAGGGAUAAAUCAGCAGCAUCGACGUUCACAGUGUAAACGUAAUAUAUGUGACUGAUCUAAGAGA
Morone saxatilis (striped sea-bass) is the source of this 983-nucleotide long non-coding RNA. RefSeq lists it as uncharacterized. Lineage: Eukaryota; Metazoa; Chordata; Actinopteri; Moronidae. The transcript is spliced from 2 exons. The record is from RefSeq and is a predicted model, not a curated record.